This 337-nucleotide ribosomal RNA is filed under the name Dichelyne sciaenidicola. RNAcentral describes it as "SSU rRNA". It matches the Rfam family "Eukaryotic small subunit ribosomal RNA", at positions 82 to 418 of the family's 1831-position model. The record is from RNAcentral. Lineage: Eukaryota; Metazoa; Nematoda; Chromadorea; Rhabditida; Cucullanidae.
UGAAACCGCGAACGGCUCAUUACAACAGCUAUAAUUUACUUGAUCCUGAAUAUCCUACUUGGAUAAUUGUGGUAAUUCUAGAGCUAAUACAUGCACCGAAGCUCCGACUCACGAACGAGCGCAUUUAUUAGAACAAAACCAAUCGGGUCUAGGCCCGCGCUUUGGUGACUCUGAAUAACUGAGCUGAUCGCACGGUCUUGCACCGGCGACAUGUCUUUCAAGUAUCUGCCUUAUCAACUUUCGAUGGUAGUUUAUGUGACUACCAUGGUUGUAACGGGUAACGGAGAAUAAGGGUUCGACUCCGGAGAGGGAGCCUGAGAAACGGCUACCACAUCCA